Oncorhynchus tshawytscha (Chinook salmon) is the source of this 420-nucleotide long non-coding RNA. RefSeq lists it as uncharacterized. The record is from RefSeq and is a predicted model, not a curated record. NCBI's taxonomy places the organism in Eukaryota, Metazoa, Chordata, Actinopteri, Salmoniformes, Salmonidae. The transcript has 3 exons.
AUCUGUUCAUUGCCUGCCUCCCCCCCAUUUUAGCGUAAUAAUUUAAAGAGCUUAGUGUUCUUAAAGCCUUUGUGUGCUUAGACAUACUUUCAAAAGCCUUUGAAAAUUCAGUCAAACAAAUAUACAUGAUAUGGAAACAACCGCGUCUACAGCACAGCAUGCAUUUGGAGCGGGCCCUCGUGGGCCCAACCCAGCCCAUGGACCUCAACCGGGCCAGGGCCCCCGACACCCAGGUCAUCCUGGACCUUACGGAGUUCCACGUCCCGAGGACCAGCCCCCACACCAGCAACACCAGCAGCCCCAUCACCACAUCCAGCACAGCAGACCAUUCUUCUACAUACACCCUUCCCAGCCAUUCCCUUCCCAGCCAUUCCCUUCCCAGCCAUUCCCUUCCCAGCCAUUCCCUUCCCAGCCAUUCCC